GAUGAACGCUGGCGGCGUGCCUAAUACAUGCAAGUCGAGCGAACAGACGAGGAGCUUGCUCCUCUGACGUUAGCGGCGGACGGGUGAGUAACACGUGGAUAACCUACCUAUAAGACUGGGAUAACUUCGGGAAACCGGAGCUAAUACCGGAUAAUAUAUUGAACCGCAUGGUUCAAUAGUGAAAGACGGUUUUGCUGUCACUUAUAGAUGGAUCCGCGCCGCAUUAGCUAGUUGGUAAGGUAACGGCUUACCAAGGCAACGAUGCGUAGCCGACCUGAGAGGGUGAUCGGCCACACUGGAACUGAGACACGGUCCAGCCUCCUACGGGAGGCAGCAGUAGGGAAUCUUCCGCACUGGGCGAAAGCCUGACGGAGCAACGCCGCGUGAGUGAUGAAGGUCUUCGGAUCGUAAAACUCUGUUAUUGGGAAGAACAAAUGUGUAAGUAACUAUGCACGUCUUGACGGUACCUAAUCAGAAAGCCACGGCUAACUACGUG
This 496-nucleotide ribosomal RNA is filed under the name uncultured bacterium. Its description in RNAcentral is "partial 16S ribosomal RNA". It matches the Rfam family "Bacterial small subunit ribosomal RNA", at positions 28 to 507 of the family's 1533-position model. The record is from RNAcentral.